AGAGUUUGAUCAUGGCUCAGAACGAACGCUGGCGGCNGGCCUAACACAUGCAAGUCGAACGAAGCCUUCGGGCUUAGUGGCGGACGGGUGAGUAACGCGUGGGAACGUGCCCUUCUCUACGGAAUAGUCCUGGGAAACUGGGUUUAAUACCGUAUACGCCCUUCGGGGGAAAGAAUUUCGGGGAAGGAUCGGCCCGCGUUGGAUUAGGUAGUUGGUGGGGUAAUGGCCUACCAAGCCGACGAUCCAUAGCUGGUUUGAGAGGAUGAUCAGCCACACUGGGACUGAGACACGGCCCAUACUCCUACNGGAGGCAGCAGUUGGGGAAUCUUAGACAAUGGGGGCAACCCUGAUCUAGCCAUGCCGCGUGAGUGACGAAGGCCCUANGGUCGUAAAGCUCUUUCNCCAGGGAUGAUAAUGACAGUACCUGGUAA
This 431-nucleotide ribosomal RNA is filed under the name uncultured Alphaproteobacteria bacterium. Its description in RNAcentral is "bacterial SSU rRNA". It matches the Rfam family "Bacterial small subunit ribosomal RNA", at positions 8 to 485 of the family's 1533-position model. Lineage: Bacteria; Pseudomonadati; Pseudomonadota; Alphaproteobacteria. The record is from RNAcentral.